GGAAUUUUCCGCAAUGGGCGAAAGCCUGACGCAGCAAUGCCGCGUGAGUGAAGAAGGCCCUCGGGUCGUAAAGCUCUUUAUCUUCGGGAAGAUGAUGACGGUACCGAAGGAAGAAGCACCGGCUAACUACGUGCCAGCAGCCGCGGUAAUACGUAGGGUGCAAGCGUUGUUCGGAAUCACUGGGCGUAAAGCGUCUGUAGGUUGUCUGUCAAGUCUGCUGUUAAAGCGUGGAGCUUAACUCCAUUUCGGCAGUGGAAACUGACAGACUAGAGUGUGGUAGGGGCAGAGGGAAUUCCCGGUGUAGCGGUGAAAUGCGUAGAUAUCGGGAAGAACACCAGUGGCGAAGGCGCUCUGCUGGGCCAUAACUGACACUCAGAGGCGAAAGCUAGGGUAGCAAAGGGAUUAGAUACCCCUGUAGUC
This 420-nucleotide ribosomal RNA is filed under the name uncultured cyanobacterium. RNAcentral's name for it is "bacterial SSU rRNA". It matches the Rfam family "Bacterial small subunit ribosomal RNA", at positions 358 to 795 of the family's 1533-position model. Lineage: Bacteria; Bacillati; Cyanobacteriota. The record is from RNAcentral.